UACGAAGGGGGCUAGCGUUGUUCGGAAUUACUGGGCGUAAAGCGCACGUAGGCGGAUACUUAAGUCAGGGGUGAAAUCCCGGGGCUCAACCCCGGAACUGCCUUUGAUACUGGGUAUCUCGAGUCCGGAAGAGGUGAGUGGAAUUCCGAGUGUAGAGGUGAAAUUCGUAGAUAUCGGGAGGAACACCAGUGGCGAAGGCGGCGACCUGGGCAGAUACUGACGCUGAGGUACGAAAGCGUGGGGAGCGAACAGG
Molecule: ribosomal RNA, 253 nt
Filed under: uncultured bacterium
Lineage: Bacteria
Description: partial 16S ribosomal RNA
Rfam family: Bacterial small subunit ribosomal RNA
Source: RNAcentral